CCCCUAGAUGUUCUGGGCCGCACGCGCGCUACACUGAACAGUUCAACAAGUCUUAACCUUGGCCGAUAGGUCUGGGUAAUCUUUGAACGCUGUUCGUGAUUGGGAUAGACCUUUGCAAUUAUGGGUCUUCAACGAGGAAUUCCUAGUAAACGCAAGUCAUCAGCUUGCAUUGAUUACGUCCCUGCCCUUUGUACACACCGCCCGUCGCACCUACCGAUUGAAUGGUCCGGUGAAAUCUCGGGACGGCGGCUUGGUCGCUUGCGUCCGACUGCUGAAACUUGAUUAAACCAUAUCAUUCAGAGGAAGGUGAAGUCGUAGCA
RNAcentral lists this ribosomal RNA (320 nucleotides) under uncultured eukaryote. Its description in RNAcentral is "partial 18S ribosomal RNA". It matches the Rfam family "Eukaryotic small subunit ribosomal RNA", at positions 1470 to 1796 of the family's 1831-position model. The record is from RNAcentral.